UCUAACAAUGAAAGUGGAGUAUCUGCAUGUAAGUGGAGCUCUUGGACUCACUAAGGAGUCCAACUGACCAAUCAUUUAAUUUCCACCUCUCCUUAGACUUCUAUUUUUAGAUCUGUGGGGGUCCGUCCCUGUAAAAGUUCAGGGGGCUUGAGGAGGACCAGACGGGGCUACCAUCUCAGCCUGGCCCAGUUCUUCCAGAGGCAGGGCAGGGAGCUCUGUAGCUGGCUUCAGAUCCUGGAGGAGCUCCCCUGGCACCUGGAGCAGAGUGAGGCCUGGAGGGAGCUACACACCUUCUUCAUAGAGCCACAGUAAGAGCAUGGAUAUACACUUCACACAUAAGGACACUAGGGGCACACAGUUACUGUUGGGUAAAAUAGUUUAGCCGCAGAUGAACUGUCAUCAUAUAUUUAACCUAACACUUAAACUGGGUGAGCCUUUAUAUCGGUUUACAGAUUCGCAUGUUUAACCAUCAUUUGUUUACAUAACGGUAUCCACUUACUAUCUGACCCGAGGACUGUAGAGCACCUGUCUAUAACUUGGAGACAGUCUCCUCGGCUGAGAAUGGAUGUUGUCAGGUACUGGACUCUCCUGAUCCUCAGAGGUUAUGACCCCUACACCUCGUACCAGAGCCUGCUGCGUAAGGGAAUCCACCCUCGUUCUCUUGUCCAAUCAGGGCGAUGAGCAUUCCCUCCUGCUACAUAUACAGGAAGGGAGGAAGCAGAGCAGAUCCCACUGCAGGCUGAGAACAACCUCACACAGGCUGGUGAGCAGGACAGAGACAGGGAGAGUGUGAUGUUACUGCUGACAGCGCGGCAGACUUUGGCUGAGCUCUAUGGAGACGGACCAGCACAGAGAGGCAGAGACGUACUGUAGAUCAGCUCUGGAGACCGCCCAGACUCACACCGCUACCUGCCUUGAGAGACAUGAGAGAAUCACUGUUGGAAAGGGUCAGUUGCUUUGUGUGCUCUGCCAGCUGCUGUUUGCAGAUGUCCGAACCAUCGAGGCCUCUCAGAUACUCAAUGGCAUCAUCAAUAUGGGACACCACAAACUCCACCUGUGUACUGACGCCACUGUAUCACUGCUCUGUGGGAUACACAGGUGUGUAUUAAAUAGCAUAAAUAGGGAUAGUCUCAUGUGUGACGUUUCUGUACUUCAUAGGUUCAGC
Molecule: long non-coding RNA, 1165 nt
Filed under: Oncorhynchus kisutch (coho salmon)
Lineage: Eukaryota; Metazoa; Chordata; Actinopteri; Salmoniformes; Salmonidae
Description: lncRNA (ENSOKIG00005044200.1)
Source: RNAcentral